Long non-coding RNA from Fukomys damarensis (Damara mole-rat), 2288 nucleotides. The record is from Ensembl. Lineage: Eukaryota; Metazoa; Chordata; Mammalia; Rodentia; Bathyergidae.
GCUCCUCUCAGGUAGGAGGUAACUCACUAAAGGAGACUGUUUUCUCCAGGAUGGAGAAUAUACUCCUUUACCUAAAACAAAGUCCGUCAUCCUUCUCAUAGGAGCCCAGUGAGCUCAUCACUGGUUAUCCUGAAGCGUAACAUGGUGGCAGGGUUGCUGUCAUCUGGAGUUGGUGGCAGUAGACGAUGUGGCAGCUACCAGGGCGCUGAGGGCUGGGAUCAAGGCGCACAUCUCCUGGGUCUCUGAGCAGGUGAUUUGGCUGGGUUUUACUUUAGCUUUAGGGGCUUCAGGAGGGAGCAGUUGCUUGCAUCUUCUCCACAGGGGACCCUGGGGAUCUGUGACCUGCCUAAGAGUGACUGAGGACAUAGCCCGGGCCGGGUGACCUCCUGGGGCUGCAGAAGCUUGGGGUCGGCUCCUUCCUAAUUCGCCUUCUCCCCAAGUGCUGCGGGCCGAGGCUGGUUCCGGUCUGUGGACUGCGAUUGAGGCUGGAUGUGGAAUAGCGUCCUCUCUCUCACACGGAGCGAGUUCAAUCUUUAUUUUGGUGCCUGACACACGGUACACCCCUAACUCACAGUAACUACUGUGGCUGUUAUUGGUAUUGUCAUCUCUUCCGUACAUAUGCUUCUUGGUGGACGAAGGCGAGAGGAAGACAUGGUCAGAAUUCCAAGAAACGCUGAAGACUUUGCAGAGGUCCCAGCAGUGGAGGGGUGGUGCACUCCUGCGCCUGGUGCCCUAAGGUAUCUUCUCUCUCCUCCUUCUCUGAUGGUGGCUUUAUCCUUCAGGCGGACAGAGCCACCCCUGGGCACAUGCACAGGAAGUAUGAAGGCAGAAGGACUGGGUGUUGAGACUGGAGGAGUGACGGCCCACCUCCUCGCCCAAGUGUCUCUGGCACCCACGGCUCAGCCUGGGCAGUGUCUGCCCAUUUCCCCUCCCUUUCCCAGCCCUCACUCACUUUCUGCUCCUCCUGUGCCUGUAAGCUCUCCUCAUGCCCAUCUGUGCCAGGGGUCUUUGAGAAGACCAUUUCCAUCCCCAGCAAGACUCCUGGAUCCUCCAAGCAAGGAUGCCUGGCUUGGCAGAGGGAUCACAGAGAAUUGUCAUGACAACCCCCUGUGCCAGGGAGGAGCUUGUGCAAGCUGCUUUCUGAGCUGCUGGCCCUCAGAAGAGUCACAACAGGGCAGGGAGUACCUGGGGCCAGCUGGGUUCCUGCGAGACAGGGAGGAGGUGUGUGGACAAGCAAUGAAUAACUUUGCAGAGAGAAGAGCAGGAGGCAAGAUGGCAGUGCUCUGAUUUAUUUAAAACUCUGUAGGUGCAGGGGGCGAAGCUGGGACUGAAUCCUUCCAUGAGGCUUGGGAUGGUUCCGGAGCACACCAUUUUUCUUUCUUCCCUGUCCCUUCCUUUCUCUGCUCCCUGUCUUCUGUGAAUUGCUUUCCUCUUCUUCUUAGCUGGGUGCUUAUGGGGCCAACCUUAUGCCAACCCGCUGAGUCCUCCCAUUAAUCCUAUCUGGUUCCCAACAAGUGAUUUAGGGGUUUGCAUGCUUUGAACACACACAGAGGGGAUGGCAGGGCAAAGAGAGAUGGGAGGAAAAAAACACUCCUAUUUGAUCUGCUAAAAAAGCACCUUAAGAGCAAAGCAAUCCACAUUACUGAAGGUAUCAGCUGGGUCCUGCCUACAGUUAUGUCAAACAAAGUGUGCCGAGAAGUGCCAACUCUCCCUUUGUGCUGUGACACCAAGAGCUGCCAAAAGAUAUUAAAAAGCUUGCAUGAACUAGGUGAUGGCAGCUGUAACUAUCUAAGUUAUUGCCUGGCAGCUGCAGUGCUGCCUGUCUGCUGCUGGCCGCCUGUACGGUUGGUUCUCCAUUUGUUUGCCCUUUCUCUAGCAACCGCUAGCGCGCAGCCUGCGGUGGGCUUCUCGCCGUCCCAGCCCCCUUGUGCCUGUAGGCAGGGAGCCGCGCAGAGAUGCAGAUUCUGGGAGAAGUCCGAUUUCUCUUGGCUGGGCCCCAAGCCUGGUUUUGCAUUGGUCAGCUCGACUCCAAGGAACCUUGGACAAGGCGAUGGUGCAGCAGCGAGCGCGCACACCCAGGCACACACACCAAAUGCAGGUUUUUGUGUUUGUGUGUGUGGCUUUUUUCCCUUCCAGGUUGGCUGGGAGUGAGCUAGAACAAUAUCGCCAGCUCCAAGCCCUGCCAGUUCUACAUCUGCUCCCUAAAACCUCCAGCAAAUAAGAAUACGGUGGGGUUGUUUAACUAACACUUACAAUAUACACACUUUUCAGCUUUUCUUCCCCUGGGC